Molecule: ribosomal RNA, 388 nt
Filed under: uncultured bacterium
Lineage: Bacteria
Description: bacterial SSU rRNA
Rfam family: Bacterial small subunit ribosomal RNA
Source: RNAcentral
GGGUUGUAAACUUCUUUUAUACGGGAAUAAAGUGAGGCACGUGUGCCUUUUUGUAUGUACCGUAUGAAUAAGGAUCGGCUAACUCCGUGCCAGCAGCCGCGGUAAUACGGAGGAUCCGAGCGUUAUCCGGAUUUAUUGGGUUUAAAGGGAGCGUAGGCGGACGCUUAAGUCAGUUGUGAAAGUUUGCGGCUCAACCGUAAAAUUGCAGUUGAUACUGGGUGUCUUGAGUACAGUAGAGGCAGGCGGAAUUCGUGGUGUAGCGGUGAAAUGCUUAGAUAUCACGAAGAACUCCGAUUGCGAAGGCAGCUUGCUGGACUGUAACUGACGCUGAUGCUCGAAAGUGUGGGUAUCAAACAGGAUUAGAUACCCUGGUAGUCCACACAGUAAA